Molecule: unclassified non-coding RNA, 158 nt
Filed under: plant metagenome
Description: partial contains small subunit ribosomal RNA and internal transcribed spacer 1
Rfam family: Eukaryotic small subunit ribosomal RNA (bases 1-46)
Source: RNAcentral
AAGUCGUAACAAGGUUUCCGUAGGUGAACCUGCGGAAGGAUCAUUAAAAGUUGUACCCUUCGGGGCACUUCCACCCCUUGCAAAUAUACCAUCUGCUUGGUCUUCCGGGCCAAAAUUUUACUCUUGAACUUUCUUCUGAAUGAGCACAAAAUGAAAAA